RNAcentral lists this non-coding RNA (22 nucleotides) under Arabidopsis thaliana (thale cress). RNAcentral also lists the same sequence under 2 other names. Lineage: Eukaryota; Viridiplantae; Streptophyta; Magnoliopsida; Brassicales; Brassicaceae. The record is from RNAcentral.
GGCGGGAGUAACUAUGACUCUC